RNAcentral lists this ribosomal RNA (264 nucleotides) under uncultured bacterium. RNAcentral's name for it is "partial 16S ribosomal RNA". It matches the Rfam family "Bacterial small subunit ribosomal RNA", at positions 92 to 354 of the family's 1533-position model. The record is from RNAcentral.
CGACCGGCGCACGGGUGAGUAACGCGUAUGCAACUUACCUAUCAGGAGGGGACUAACCCGGCGAAAGUCGGACUAAUACCGCAUGAAGCAGGGGCCCCGCAUGGGGAUAUUUGCUAAAGAUUCAUCGCUGAUAGAUAGGCAUGCGUUCCAUUAGGCAGUUGGCGGGGUAACGGCCCACCAAACCGACGAUGGAUAGGGGUUCUGAGAGGAAGGUCCCCCACAUUGGUACUGAGACACGGACCAAACUCCUACGGAAGGCAGCAG